AUACUUACCUGGCAGGGGAGAUACAAUGAUCAAGAAGGUGGUUUUCCCAGGGCGAGGCUUAUCCAUUGCACUCCGGAUGUGCUGACCCCUGUGAUUUCCCCAACUGUGGGAAACUCGACUGCAUAAUUUGUGGUAGUAGGGGACUGCGUUCACACUCUCCCCUA
This 164-nucleotide small nuclear RNA is filed under the name Castor canadensis (American beaver). RNAcentral's name for it is "U1 spliceosomal RNA (ENSCCNG00000021495.1)". It matches the Rfam family "U1 spliceosomal RNA". Rfam says of the family: U1 is a small nuclear RNA (snRNA) component of the spliceosome (involved in pre-mRNA splicing). Its 5' end forms complementary base pairs with the 5' splice junction, thus defining the 5' donor site of an intron. The record is from Rfam by way of RNAcentral. Lineage: Eukaryota; Metazoa; Chordata; Mammalia; Rodentia; Castoridae.